RNAcentral lists this ribosomal RNA (301 nucleotides) under uncultured bacterium. RNAcentral's name for it is "partial 16S ribosomal RNA". It matches the Rfam family "Bacterial small subunit ribosomal RNA", at positions 509 to 807 of the family's 1533-position model. The record is from RNAcentral.
CAGUAGCCGCGGGAAUACGAGGGGGGCAAGCGUUGUUCGGAAUUAUUGGGCGUAAAGGGUGCGUAGGCGGCUUGACAAGUCUUGUGUGAAAUCUAUGGGCUCAACCCAUAGUCUGCACGGGAAACUGUCGGGCUUGAGUAUUGGAGAGGUGAGUGGAAUUUCCGGUGUAGCGGUGAAAUGCGUAGAUAUCGGAAGGAACACCUGUGGCGAAAGCGGCUCACCGGACAAUUACUGACGCUGAUGCACGAAAGCUAGGGGAGCAAACAGGAUUAGAUACCCGUGUAGUCCCUGUCUCUUAUAC